Molecule: non-coding RNA, 8456 nt
Organism: Tetranychus urticae (two-spotted spider mite)
Lineage: Eukaryota; Metazoa; Arthropoda; Arachnida; Trombidiformes; Tetranychidae
Source: RefSeq, a predicted model, not a curated record
AUCGUUCAUAAACAUCAGAACGAGCUCCUGUCAACAAGUAAGCUACAAUUGUGUCUUUCGUUGUAAAUAGUAUCAUUCAUUACCUAUUAAAACCUUUUUAGCAGUGAUUGCUUCGCAAUUUAUGAUAACAAAUUGGAAAAAGUGAAUUAAUUUUAAUAUGAGUGCAAACAUGAACACAGUUAGUUCAUUAAAGCGCCCAUUAACAGUGCCAAGUGACUCUUGUAAAUUAUUAGUUUGUAAAAUUUGUGAAAAAGAUGAUAAUAUUUUAGGACUGAAAACAUGUGGCUGCCUUUUAUGUGACUCUUGUGAUGGUGAUUCUCGGAAUAAAUGUAUUUCAUGUGAUUCUGAAGUUGAUCCAAAGAUAAAGCUGACAUUCACAAAGAAUCUAAAAUGCAAGUUUUAUGAGAGCAACAAGUGCUAUAGUUUUGCUGAAUACAAGUGUAAAUGCAUACCAAAUUGUUUCGUCUGUGAUUCGUGUCUUAACUUCAUUCACCGUAAAAGGGUGCGUGAAUCUUGUGUUCCUGAAAUUUUGACACCCAAAGUUACCAAUAAUCCUGAACCAUGUCAGCUGUGUAAAGAAUUUAUUGCUGAAUUUGAAAUGACUUCGGAACCUUAUACAAAAAUUUGCUUCGAAUGUAAAACAAGCAGUAAUUCAAAAUGUAUUCCAUAUGAAAGAAAUUCUGAUGAAGAUUUAGAUUGGGAUCAGCUUUACAAAGAAUUUAUCUCUUCCUGUGUAUCUUCCGAUAAAAUUAAGAAAAUUGAAGAUGAACUAGAAGCAAGCUGUUUAGAUCGUGAACAGAGGAUAAGACAAGGCAAAGAGUCAAUAUCUGAAAUGCAGAAAUGUUUGGACGAAUAUACCGAACAAUAUGACCGACACAUUGCUUUGCUUAAACAGCAACUUGAUAAUUUAAAAAAGGAGCCGGCCUAUAUGAGGCCCGAUGGUACAACUAAAACUAUUCUUGAUCUUCUCAAAGCUAAACAAUUGAUGCUACAUGGAAAGAAUGGAAAAGAGCAAAUAAUUAGUUUUCUGAACCAUUAUCGGGGAAAAAAUGACUCCAAUCCUCGAUAUCCUUUAGCUGAACAAAUCAAGACAUUAGCUGUACAAAACGAUACCAGUAGUCAACAUGCUUUGGAGUUUCCAUUGCCUUCAUCAUUAAACUCAGUGAAGUCGGAAGACCACAGUCCCUCAACUUUACCUUCAUCACCCAUUCCUGGUAUUUCAGCAAAGUCGGAGUUAUGUGCUCAAGAAAUUAGCAACAAUGAAGUCAAGCCGUUUGUUGUUAUGGUUGAGAAGCCAUCUACAGUACAACAGCGUAAAAAAAUACUGAAAGCUAUUCAGAAACAUGAAGAUAAAUGGGUACGCAAAGAGCAAUUUGCCGUUCACGAAAAUGUUAUUAUAUUCGAUGCUGAUACAACUGACACGUUCAAAUGCAAGAGAGCUAAAGUUUUAAGCAAAGGAAAUCGUCAUUCCACAGUCUUUCUUCUUGAUUUUGGCUUUGAAAUCACAGUCAAAAAUAGUUCCAUUGGUCUAAUUAGCCACCUCGAAAUCCCUACAAAUGGAAAAAAAACUUGUUUCCUUGCUCUAUUCACGGGGAGUAUUAAUGUCAAUUGUGACUUAAAGCAAAAGGAUUGGAUUUCCGAAAUUUCCCAAAUCCAGAAUGGCUUUCCUAAGGCUCAGCACAUAAAUAUUAUUGAUUAGUCAGAACGAAGAUUCUUGUUCAUUUUUUUUACAAUUCAAACGAUAUUCCAAGAUUGCACUCUAUUUGUUGACAUUGAAUUUGACUUCGUUCGCAAAUAUAAUAUAUGUAAAUAGUUUUAUACUCAUUUACACGAGUUUUAGUAGACUUGGGGCCAAUUGUAUCCAAAGAUUAAGGUACCUAAAUAAUUGAUUGUACCAGCAAUUACAGUUAAUACUUCACGAAUAAUUAGUAUAAUUAUCAGGAAUGAAUAAUUCACACUUUAUAAUAACAAAUUAACAAGAGUUGAUCUAUUUUAUAUCAUACAUGCAAUUGAUUAGAGCGAAGCUUCCUCUUGAUGAACAAAAUGACUCCACUGUUGUCUUUCUCCUUGAAUUUGGCUUUGAAGUUACAGUCAAAAAUAGUUCAAUCGGUAAAAUCAAAGAAAUCAAAAUUGAUGGACAAAACUUGUUUCAACAAAGGUGUUCAGUUUGAAUAUCCUCAUGACUUUAGAUAAAAGCUGUUAAAAAAUAAUUAGAAUGCAAUCAAAAUAAGAGUUCAGAGUUCAUUUCAGUGUAUGAUUUAUCGUCUUCAGCAAAACAUCUGCUCGCAAUUAAUAUAUUACUUGAAAGGUAUCAUCUCCCAGUGUUUUAUUGAAAGUGUAAUUCAGUUCACUUAUUUAGCUAAAUGAAGAUCAUAAAGACGAAAGUUUAGCUUUUAAACAUUUCAACCUUUUCCGUAAUUUUGCUGGUCUAUGAAUAUUUUUUUCCUGGAUAGUAAUUACAAUGCUAAUCUACUUCAAACGGUUCUUGAUUUUGCUAUUUUAAGGCCUUUUAAUGUGUAACAAAUAUUGAAUGCAUAUCAAAAGAAACAGAUGAUAUUAUUCCAAUAAUAUUUUAUUCUAAUAUUAGUAUCCAUUCGGUACUACCGGUAAUAUUAUUACUUAUUAUAAUAAUACUAAAAAAUAAAUAUUGCAAAUGUUUCAUCAUAGUCUAUUACGAAACAUUUAGGUGAAGAGCGAUUUUAGAAUCUAAAAUUUAGAUUUCAGGUUUGAUCGAUUUAAAUUAGAAAUUCGAUGUAUCGAUUUUUACUGUAAACAAAUCAUAGAAACUCAGCAUAUAAAAGGCAUAAAUGUAACAAUUUGGUAAAGAUUUGAUGAAGAAUAAUAAAUUGACAUUUUUGGGCUUAGUUCUGUUUCUUCCAAACUCUUAACUAAUGGAUCUUGACUUCGACAAUCGUGAACCCCUUAAGGCAAUCAUGCUGGUUUUCGAUUUUAUAAACAAAUCAUCGAUCACAAAGUUAGCAACAAAGAGUAAAGAAGCUUCUUUACUCUUUGAAGCAAGCAAUGAUCGAUUUUAUCGAUAAUCGAAUCAAUCGGUCACUGACAUCAUAACGUUUUCUCGCCAACAAGUUAAGCAACAAUUGUGUCUUUCUCGAAAAUUAAAUCAAUCAUUUCUAAUUAAAACCUAUUUAGCAGUGUUUGCUUCAAAAUUUGUAAUAACAAAUUAACAAAAGUGAAUAAAUCUAAUUAUAAGUGCAAAAAUCAACAUGGUUAGUUUAUUAAAGCGUUUAUCUACAGUGCCUAGUGACUCUUUUAAAUUGUUAGUUUGCAAAAUUUGUAAAAAAGGUGAUAAUAUUUUAGGUUACAAAACUUGUGGAUGCCUUUUAUGUGACUCUUGUGACGGCGAUUCUCGGGAUAAAUGUAUUUCAUGUGAUUCUGAAGUCGACCCAAAGAUAAAGUUAACAUUCACAAAGAAUCUAAGAUGCAAGUUUUAUGAGCGCAACAAGUGCUAUAGUUUUGCUGAAUACAAAUGUAAAUGUCUUAACUGUCCUGUCUGUGAAUUGUGCCUUAACUUCGUUCACCGGAAAAGGGUGAGUGGAUCUUGUGAUCCUGAAGUUUUGACAUCCAAAGUUACCACUAACUCUGAACCAUGUCAAUUGUGCAGAGAAUUUAUUGCUGAAUUUAAAAUGACUUUGAAACCAUAUGCAAAAAUUUGCUUCAAUUGUUCAACAAACAGGAGUUCUAUAUGCAUUCCCUUUGAUAGAAAUUCUGAUGGAGAUCUAGAUUGGAAUCAGCUUUACAAAGAUUUUGAACAAUCUUCCCAAAUGGCUUCCGAUAAUAUUAAAAAAUCAGAACACGUAUUGGAAAUCAGCAUUUCAGCUCGUGAAGAGAAGAUAAAAUUAUGCAAGGAUUUAAUAUCUGAAAUACAAAAGUGUUUAGACGAAUUUACUGAACAAUAUGAUCGAUCCAUUGUAACACUCAAACAGCAACUUGCCGAUUUAAAAAAGGAUGCGGACUAUUUGAGACCCGAUGGUACAACUAAAACUAUUCUUGAUCUUCUCAAAAAUAAAGAAUUGACUUUACAUGGAGAAAAUGGAAAAGAGCAAAUAACUAAUUUUUUGAACUAUUAUCGAGAAAAGAAUAACUACAAUCCUGUAACUGAACAAAUAAAGACAUUGCUUUCCUCAUUCGACUCAGCGAAGUUGGGUUUAAGUGUUGAUAGUGUAGGAGUUAGCGACAAUGGAGUCAAGCCGCUUGCUAUUCUGAUCGAGAAGCCAUUUACAUUAAAUGAGCGUAAAAAAAUACUCGAAGCUGUUCGAAAACAUGAAGAUAAAUGGGUACGCAAAGAAAUUUUUUCUGUGAACGACACUGUUAUUAUAUUUGAUGCUAAUUCAACUGACAUGUUCAAAUGCAAGAGAGCUAAAGUCUUAAACAAAGGAAAUCACAAUUCCACAGUCUUUCUUCUUGAUUUUGGAUUUGAAAUUACAGUACAAAAUAGUUCCAUUGGUCUAAUUAGCCACCCCGAAGUCCCUACCAAUGGAAAAAAAACUUGUUUCCUUGCUCAAUUCACGGGAAGUGUUAAUGUAAAUUGUGGCUUAAAGCAACAAGAUGGGGGUUUUGAAAUUUCUCAUAUCCAAAAUGGAUUUCCUAAGGCUCAGCUUUUAAAUGUUAUUGACUAGUCAGAACGAAGCUUCUUUUUCAUUUUUUACUAUCCAAACAUUAUUUCGAGACUCCACUCUAUGUGUUAACAUUGAAUUUGAUUUCGUUCGAAAACCUAUGUAAAUAAUUCGAAGUAAUAAUUGUAGUCUUACUCCUUGUUUUUGGUUUUGAAGUUAAAUCGAAGAUAAUGAAAUUGGAUUUUGAUGUCAAUAUAGCUGGACAAUAAACUUUUUCAUUGCUCAAAAAAUGGGUAAAUUCAACUCAUGAAAUUCCCUCAUUCCUAUUGCUCAGAAGCCAAUCAUUUAAAAAGACAAUUCACCUAAAAUAGACUAAACGCAACAUAUCAAUCAUUCGUAGACUUUUGUAAUUUUAUUGUUUUCACUAACAAGUGGCUAAAGUAGACGAAGACAGAGACUAACAAUAUAAAACUAUUUCAUGGUAAAGCAAAUGUCUGUCUAAGUUUAUCUAAUCUUAUGAGCUGGAUAGAUGAAUAAUUGGUCAAAUGAAGAGACAAAAUAUAAGAGGGGAAACAAGUGAGUCCAACCAAAUUAUUAGAGCUAAUCCCCUCACAAUGAUAUCAACACUAAACUGCAACAGGUUAAGUUGAAAUUGUAUCUUACACAUAAAUUGUAUUAUUGAUUUCUUAUUAAAACAUAUUCAGAAGUGAUUAAUUAAUAUUUUGAAAUAAAAAAUUAACAAAGUUAAUUUAUUUUUAUAUCAAUGCAAACAUGAGUACAGUUAAUUCAUUAAAGCGUCCAUUACCAGAACCAAGUGACUCUUGCAAAUUGUUGGCUUGCAAAACAUGCGAAAAAGAUGAUGUUGUUUUGAACCUGAAAACGUGUGGAUGCCUUUUAUGCAAGGCUUGUGAUGGUGAUGCUCGAGAUAAAUGUAUCUCUUGCCGAUCUAACUUCGAUCCAAAGAUAAAGUUGUCAUUCACGAAGAAUCCAAGAUGCAAGUUUUCUGAACUCAACCAGCCACAGUCAUCGGUUUCCUUUAGCUGAAAAAUCAAGACAUUUGUUAUACAAAAUGAUUCCAGAAGACAACAUCUUUUGGAGUUUCCAUUACCUUCAUCAUCCAACUACGGUGUUUCAACAAUUGAUUAGCAUGAUUGAAAUUAUAUUGAUUGUCUUAUAAAAAAGAUCAACUGAAGUAAAUUCAUAGACAGGUUACCGAGAAGAUUUAUAAUUUACUCUCAAUUUAGCCUCACUCCUAUCAGUGGCCAGGAUUUGACUAAAGUAACAAGAAGUAAUUGAGUUUUCUAGGAACGCAGGUUCGUUAGAAAACAUAUUCAGGGUGAUGGGAAAACAAUCCAUAUUGAAAAGCAUUGUCGAGGUAAGCAAAUUAUUUUUUAGUUUAAUUAUGCUAUGUUAUCGGAGUCCGUUUGUUUAGUUAGGUGAUGAUCUAAAUGAAGAUCAUGAAAUAAAAGACAAAAGUUCAGCUUUUAGAUAUUGCAACCUUUUCCGUGUUUUUAUGCUCUAUGAAAAUUUUUCAACCUGGAUAGUAGUUAUAAUGCAUAUCUACUUCGAAUGGUACUUGAUUCUGCUAUUUUAAGGCCUUUUAAUGUGUAACAGAACAUUGAAUGCAUAUCAAAAGAAACAGAUUAUAUUAUUCAAUAAUAUUUCAUUCUAAUAUUAGUAUCCCUUCGGUACUACCGAUAAUAUUACUUAAAAGUGAAAUAUUGCAAAAUGUUGCAUCAUGAUCUAUGACGAAACAGGCGAAGUGAUGGGCGAUUUUGGAUUUCAGAUUUCGAUUUAAACUAGAAAUGUGAUUAAUCGAUUUUCAUUGUAAACAAAACAUGAAACUCAGCAUAUAAAAGGCAUAAAAUGUAGCAAUUUGGUAGAAAUUUAAGAAAGAAUAAUUGAUUAACAUAUUGGGCUUAGUUCUGUUUCUUCCAAACUCUUAACUAAUGGAUCUUGACUUCAGCUGUCAAGCUUGAACCCCUUAGGGCAAUCAUGCUCGCUUUCGAUUGUCGAUUUUAUAAACAAAUCAAAUAAUCGAUCACAAAGUUGGUUAGCGAUGAUCGAUUUUAUCGAUAAUCGAAUCAAUUGGUUACAAGCAUCAUAACGUUUUCUCGUCAACAAGUUGAACUUCAAUUGUGUCUUUCGUUGAAAUUACAUCAUUCAUUCACUAUUAAAACCUAUUAAGCAGUGAUUGCUUCAAAAUUUAUAAUAACAGUUUAGCAAAAGUUAAUUAAUUUUUAUAUAUGUGACAAAAAUGAACACGGUUAAUUCAUUGAAGCGUCCAUUUACAGAAACAAGUGAUUCUUGUAAAUUGUUAGUUUGCAAAACAUGUAAGAAAGAUGAACCUGUUGUCUUGAACCUGAAAACAUGUGGAUGCCUUUUCUGUGAAUCUUGUGACGGUGAUUCUCGGAAUAAAUGUAUUUCUUGCGACUCUGAAGUGGAUCCAAAGAUAAAGUUAACAUUUACGAAGAAACUAAAAUGCAAGUUUUAUGAGCGCAACAAGUGCUAUAGUUUUGCUGAAUACAAAUGUAAAUGUCUCAACUGUUUUGUCUGUGAAUUGUGCCUCAACUUCGUUCACCGGAAAAGGGUGAGUGGAUCUUGUGAUCCUGAAGUUUUGACACCCAAAGUUACCAAUAGUCCUGAACCAUGUCAAUCAUGCAAAGAAUUUAUUGCUGAAUUUAAAAUGACUUCAGCACCGUAUUCAAAAAUUUGCUUCAAUUGUUCAACAAACAGUAAUUCUGAAUGUAUUCCAUAUGUAACAAAUCCUGAUGAAGAUCUAGAUUGGGACCAGUUUUAUAAAGAUUUUGUACAAUCUUCCCAAAUGGCUUCCGAUAAAAUUAAAAAAAACAGAAGAAGUAUUAGAAUUAGUCAGUUGGGAUCGUGAACAGAAGAUAAAAAUAUGCAAAGAUUUAAUAACUGAAAUACAAAAGUGUUUAGACGAAUAUACUGAAGUAUAUGAUCGACACAUUGUAACACUCAAACAACAACUUGAAAAUUCCAAAAAGGAUUAUUUAAGACCCGAUGGUACAGCUAAAACUAUUCUUGAUCUUCUCAAAAAUAAAGAAUUGGCUUUACAUGGAAAAAAUGGAAAAGAUCAAAUGACUAAUUUGUUAAACUAUUAUCGGGAAAAACAUAACUACAACCCUCGAUAUCCUGCAACUAGCCGAAUAAAGGCAUUGCUCUCCUCAUUCGACUCAGCGAAGUUGGGUUUAAGUGUUGAUAGUGUAGGAGUUAGCGACAAUGGAUUCAAGCCGCUUGCUAUUCUGGUCGAGAAGCCAUCUGCAGCAAAUCAGCGUAAAAAAACACUGAAAAAUAUUCAGAAACAUGAAGAUAAAUGGGUACGCAAAGAAAGUUUUACUGUUAACGACAUUGUUUUUAUAUUUGAUGCUAAUACAACCGACACGUUCAAAUGCAAGAGAGCAAGAAUCUUGAGCAAAGGAAAUCGCAAUUCCACAGUCUUUCUUCUUGAUUUUGGCUUUGAAAUUUCAGUCAAAAAUAGUUCUAUUGGUCAAAUUAACCACAUCGAAGUUCCUACCAAUGGAAAAAAAACUUGUUUCCUUGCUCAACUCACGGGAAGUGUUAAUGUAAAUUGUGGCUUAAAGCAACAGGAUUGUAUUAUAUUUCCGAAAUUUCCGAAAUACACAAUGGAUUUCCUAAGGCUCAGCAGAUAAAUGUUAUUCAUUAGUCAGAGCGAAGUUUCUUUUUAAUUUUUCACAAUUCAAACAAUAUUCCAAGAUUGCACUAUACGUGUUGACAUUGAAUUUGAUUACGUUCACAUCGAUAACCCAUGUAAAUAAUUCCAAGUUAAAUAAUUGUAGUCUCUUUGUUUUUGGUUUUGAAAUUAAAUAAAAUAUAAUGACAUUGGUUUUUCGAUGCCAA